GUGGGGAAUAUUGGGCAAUGGGCGAAAGCCUGACCCAGCAACGCCGCGUGAAGGAAGAAGGUCUUCGGAUUGUAAACUUCUGUCAUUGGGGACGAAGGAAGUGACGGUACCCGAUGAGGAAGCCCCGGCUAACUACGUGCCAGCAGCCGCGGUAAUACGUAGGGGGCGAGCGUUGUCCGGAAUUACUGGGCGUAAAGGGUGCGUAGGCGGCGAUGCAAGUCCAUUGUGAAAAGCUCGGGCUUAAACUGGGAGGUGCAGUGGAAACUGUAUGGCUUGAGUGCAUGAGAGGAAAGUGGAAUUCCUAGUGUAGCGGUGAAAUGCGUAGAUAUUAGGAGGAACACCAGUGGCGAAGGCGGCUUUCUGGACUGUAACUGACGCUGAGGCACGAAAGCGUGGGGAGCAAACAGGAUUAGAAACCCCAGUAGUCC
Molecule: ribosomal RNA, 428 nt
Filed under: uncultured bacterium
Lineage: Bacteria
Description: partial 16S ribosomal RNA
Rfam family: Bacterial small subunit ribosomal RNA
Source: RNAcentral